This 471-nucleotide ribosomal RNA is filed under the name uncultured bacterium. RNAcentral's name for it is "SSU rRNA". It matches the Rfam family "Bacterial small subunit ribosomal RNA", at positions 26 to 518 of the family's 1533-position model. The record is from RNAcentral.
AGGAUCAACGCUGGCGGCGCGCCUAAUGCAUGCAAGUCGGACGGGGUUGCUUUCGGGUAACUCACGUGGCGGACGGGCGAGGAACACGUGGGCAACCUGCCCUGAGGUGGGGGUAGCCGCCGGAAACGGUGGGUAAUUCCGCGUACGCUGGUUGGUCGGUAGGGCUGAUCAGGAAAGGUGCGAAUCGCCUUAGGAGGGGCCUGCGGCGGAUUAGCUAGUUGGUGUGGGUAACGGCUCACCAAGGCGAUGAUCCGUAGCUGGUCUGAGAGGACGGCCAGCCGCAGGGGGACUGAGAGACGGCCCCCACUCCUACGGGAGGCAGCAGCAAGGAAUCUUCCGCAAUGGGCGAAAGCCUGACGGAGCGACGCCGCGUGUGGGAGGACGCCUUUCGGGGUGUAAACCACUUUUCUUGGGGAAGAUGAUGACGGUACCCGAGGAAUAAGGCCCGGCAAACUACGUGCCAGCAGCCGC